AUGCUGCUGUAUGAACAAAGACUUCACGUCUUUCAUAAGCUUUGGGUCAUGUCACAAAAUCCCUGCAUGUUAAGAUAUUCAAAAGUUUUAGUCACAAGAUUUGAUCUCCGUCAGCUGUUUUCAGUUCUGUACCGUUUCCUAGCAACAGUGGGGCAACUAGCAAGAGAAAAAAAACUCAUGCUUGUGGGAGAGGAGGGUAGUGACAGAGGAGCAGGUGACAGCCACAGGUCCAAAAAAGCCCUUGAUACAAGCCUUCUCAAAUAGCC
Molecule: long non-coding RNA, 266 nt
Organism: Cyprinus carpio (common carp)
Lineage: Eukaryota; Metazoa; Chordata; Actinopteri; Cypriniformes; Cyprinidae
Source: Ensembl